GUCCACGCCGUAAACGAUGGAUACUAGCUGUUCGGUCGCAAGACUGAGUGGCUAAGCGAAAGUGAUAAGUAUCCCACCUGGGGAGUACGAACGCAAGUUUGAAACUCAAAGGAAUUGACGGGGCCCGCACAAGCGGUGGAGCAUGUGGUUUAAUUCGAUGAUACGCGAGGAACCUUACCAAGGCUUAAAUGUAGAUUGACAGGUCUGGAAACAGAUUUUCCUUCGGGCAAUUUACAAGGUGCUGCAUGGUUGUCGU
This 256-nucleotide ribosomal RNA is filed under the name uncultured bacterium. RNAcentral describes it as "partial 16S ribosomal RNA". It matches the Rfam family "Bacterial small subunit ribosomal RNA", at positions 793 to 1055 of the family's 1533-position model. The record is from RNAcentral.